RNAcentral lists this ribosomal RNA (446 nucleotides) under uncultured bacterium. RNAcentral describes it as "bacterial SSU rRNA". It matches the Rfam family "Bacterial small subunit ribosomal RNA", at positions 958 to 1399 of the family's 1533-position model. The record is from RNAcentral.
AACGCGAAGAACCUUACCAGCUCUUGACAUGUCUCGUAUGGGCCGGGGAGACCCGGUUCUUCAGUUCGGCUGGCGGGAACACAGGUGCUGCAUGGCUGUCGUCAGCUCGUGUCGUGAGAUGUUGGGUUAAGUCCCGCAACGAGCGCAACCCUCAUCCUCAGUUGCCAUCAGGUUAAGCUGGGCACUCUGAGGAAACUGCCGGUGACAAGCCGGAGGAAGGCGGGGAUGACGUCAAGUCCUCAUGGCCUUUAUGUCCAGGGCUACACACGUGCUACAAUGGCCGGUAUAAACCGCUGCAAACCCGCGAGGGGGAGCUAAUCGGAAAAAGCCGGCCUCAGUUCGGAUCGCAGUCUGCAACUCGACUGCGUGAAGCUGGAAUCGCUAGUAAUCGCAGAUCAGAAUGCUGCGGUGAAUACGUUCCCGGGCCUUGUACACACCGACUGUAC